This is a long non-coding RNA of Panicum virgatum (switchgrass), 5083 nucleotides long. RefSeq lists it as uncharacterized. NCBI's taxonomy places the organism in Eukaryota, Viridiplantae, Streptophyta, Magnoliopsida, Poales, Poaceae. The record is from RefSeq and is a predicted model, not a curated record. The transcript is spliced from 6 exons.
UUCACGGCCAACUCUCGCCAUCCCAGACCAAAACGCGCGCCGCUGCCUCCGCUCUGUUUUCUACGACGCCCAUUCGCCGGGACCAACUCCACGGAGAAGAGAGAGGGGGCUCUCAGGCCCUCACCCGUCAGCCAUCACAUGGGUCGCGGGUGUGCUGCUUUGAUGAUUAGCUCACGAGAAGAUCAGGAAUAUGUCCGCAUUGAAUGUGAUUUGAAAUCAGUCUGUGUGCUGCUGCAGAAGGAAGUGGAACUGCGAGUUUUGCCUCAGUAAUGCUGGCGGUUCCACAUCUAAUGGGUCAAUGUCAAGCAUCAGAUGUGCUAUAUCGUCCAAGGAUAUAGAUGUAUUUCACGCCUCCAGGGAGGGGAACGCAUUUAGGAUUGCAUACACGCCAAACAAUGCAGAUAAACACUUACCUCUUGAGAUAGACCUUGUGCACCAUAUUUGUCGUCCCAGAACAUUGUUGCUAUGCGAUAGAUUUGAGUUAUGCUCAAAACCUGCGGAAAACAUGCAAAAAUUUCAUGCUUGACAGCUUGCAAAAAAUUAAUCCAAGUGUUUAUAAGAUUUCUUGUUUACAACUUACAGGGCAAAGCUCAUUUGUGAUUUCCUCCAGGGUUUUGUGUGACUUCUGAUGCAGCACCUGUAAUAUGAAUUUAUUUAAUGAGUAGAGUAGUAGACAGAUGAAACUAUGAUGUCCGUGAAUAACUGCAGGUUUUCAGGCAUACCAGGAACCCAACUGCCUGCCUUAUGUGUUGCAGUUCAUCCCAAGAUGCCCCUGCAUACUGCAUUACAGCGAUAGAUUAGCUCUCUCUUGCUGAUUACAAUUAUUGUCUUGCUGAAAUUACCCAAUAAAAAAGGGGAAAAUCUUCACCUCUUCAGUUGUUCUAGAGUACCAUUGCUCCAGUUCUUGUAAGCCAGCCUUCAAGAAUUCCCCAUUGCUAAAAGAGCAGCAUUCCCGACGAAGUAGCAAACUAAACAAAAAGGUAAAGGCUUCAUACAGUCCAGAAUCAACCAUGUAAACUAUAUACCAGAGACGUAUUGGUGUCUUAUAUGAGCUUGUGCAGUCAACUAGUCAAGAAUAGUUAAGGGUGUAGUAUAUAAUAAUACCUGUUGAAGAGUUGCACAUUCAAGUAUGCAUAUACUUGACUAAAUGUUUUCUUGAUUAUCAUCGGAGGUACCUACAAAAUUAAAAUUGAAUUCAGUAAUGCAUUUCUGUACUUCCCUAACUGUAAGGUGGCUGAAAUAUUAAGAUUGGACUCACAUGGUUAUUUUUCAUUGUUUCCAGUGUAUUUUCCAGGCACUUAACUAUGCUUUGCCAAUGUACACUUGAUGCUUGCCUUGAUAGUGCAUUAGAGUGUAUACUUUUUAGUGAACCCCGAGAUGGUCUCACGCGAUUAGCUCUUGGAGCCUAUGAAGGUCAAUAACUGUUAGAAAACUGUGUUGUCUUGCAGCCAGGUCACGAAAAUGACUUAUUUGUUGUACCUGUAUGCAUAGAGUCAAGAAUGGGCUUAUUUCUUUCUUCAGGUUAUCUCUAAUUAUCCCAUAUAUCUUCUCAACGUAUGCUGUUAACUGUUGCUUGAACCGAAGUGCUGGAUACUUUGCUUCUACCAUUGAUGCAGUGUCAGGCCUUCCUACCAUUCCACCGUAUCCACUAGUUAUGCCUAAUCCUGAUGAUGAUGUCCGGGCACUCUGAAGAUGGAAUAUUUAGGAUGUAAGCUCAGCUCAUGUUUACAAUGUGAAUAUCAGUCCAUGGUACUUAAUGAAAGUUGACCACUGAAAUCUUGACGUCCCAGAAAACAAUACAUAGGAAAAAACACAUUAUAUAUUUAUAAGAGCAUUGUGCACUACCAGUCAACCACUGGCCUGUAUUAUGGGGACCCUGGCAAACUUGACGUUGCAAUCUCAGAUAAAAACCUUUAUUCAUGCAAAACACAAGUCUGGAUGGCGAACUUACCUGCACCAUUCUACUAAACAGGCUGCCUGUUGCAGUCCGGCUGCGAUUCGAUCCUUUACUUGAUGAACUGCUAGCUUUGAGGGUAUUUUGUAAUAAGUAGAGGAGAGUUGAUGUAGUUGACAACCAAUAAGCUAGCUCUCCAGAACUUUCAGCACCCUAUAAAUUAAAUUCCGGUGAUGAGUUUCUCCACAACUUGCUUGCCAGCAUUGGUGGUUCUUACACCACGGAAAAGGGAAAGUGAUCUGCAUAUUUAUGGGAGUAACAACCUCAACUGAUGACCUAAUUGUUUGGAUGAUUCGAUCAAAUAUGUUAGUCUUCUCUGCUUCAAAUGAACGCCAGCGCAGGAGUGAUUUGUAGACAAUGCAUGCUGCAGCUGAUUUUUUGGCAUCAAAUCUCCUGUCUUCUACAAGACUUUUAAUCAGGACAUCAUGAUUUUCCUGUGUAGGUGUGAGGGAAGAACAAUUGGCGAGACAUCAAUCUUCACUAUGCAUCAUGAAGAGAUUAAUACUAUCUAAGGCAAUAAAGCAGUGAACGUACUUGCUGUCGAUCUGUCAGUGAUUUUUGUUUGCUUAGAUUCUUUACAGGAGGAACAACCACCUGUUCCUGCAUGCAGAGCAUAUGUACCCAUGUUAAUAAGAUAUCUGACUGGGAUUAUGCAAUAUAUAUUAUAAUAUGUUUGCCAGGUAAAACUUAUAGCACAUACAUUGACUAUUUUAGCUUCUUCAAGCUGGUGUCCAUUGUCAACUUCCAUAUGAAUGAGGUUCUGACAUAAAAUUCAGUGCAAAUCUUUUAGUUAUCAAGUAGCAAUAAAAGUUCCAGAGUAGUGUUUUCCUAAAGCUCCUUCAAGGGAACUUACCUCCAUUACUGAUGUCUGAUACAUUUCAGGGGUGACCACGGCCUGAACAGCAGGCGCUGAAUUACUGCGGAGCAACUGGAUCUCCGACUCUAAGAUGGCAAUCUUGCUUUCCAGUCUAAACAGACCAUUUUUUUUAACUUGUGAGGCUCUCAUAGGAUGUGAACCUCCAGAAAGAAAGAAAAAAAAAGGUGCGAAUGAAGUGUCCACAACUGGCACUUCUACUAUCUUUGGUGGUGCCUGUUCAAUUGCUAACUUCGCGGCUUCUUUCUCCUUUAAUACUGCUGCAUGGGCUUCCUCAAUCUUUUCUUGCAUUUCUUGCAAUGCAGAUUGCAACUUUCCAAUUUCUUGGCCCUUGGCUUCUUCAAGGUCAGUCUACCAGCAAGCGAUAGUUAAAAAAAGUCAUUUGGGACCAAGUAGACAACUAAAACACUACAUAAACUGCAAUAUUGAUCCAGGUGAAUUACCCUCAAACGCUUUUCAACAUCUAACCGCCAUGUAAGUUCUUCUGCUCUCUUUUCAAGCUUGUCUUUAGCUUCUUUGAGUGCGCCGGUCUCUCUUGCUUCCUGUUUACAUAGUUAUGCUUACUUUACUAUGCACUAAUAAUGAAUGGUGUACUUCUGCUUCACAUGUGAAAUUAGACAAACCAUUCUCAGUUUCCGAAGUUCCUUUCUUGCGAUGCGUGCCCUCCACAAGCACUGAAGAAUCAAUGAAGCUCUCUUUUGCUGCUUAUAAGCAACAUAAGCUUUGUGUUGGCGCCAUCGAGUCUGUGAUUCAUACAGCAGCUAAUUAUAGUUUCUUAUGAAAACUAACUACAAAUCAUGAUCACCAUUGCAGAGCGAACCUGGAUAAUUAUGGAAGCCUUGGUCUCUCUUCGGAACCUGUGUUCAUUGCGAGCUGCCAUUGCCCGUAUUCCUGUCUGUAUUACUAUAGCUGAUUCAUAUACUUGACGGUAAGACCAGUUUACUGACCUUAAGGGCACAAAGUGCUCAAAGUAGUGAAGAAUUACCUCUCCAGAACUUCUGAGAUUGAACUGAGGCUUUUCGUAAGUUGACAAAUUCCUUUCGCAUAAGAUAUGUCUUUAUACGCCUCUGGAUUAGUCGCGCAGCAUUGGCCAAUACUUCUGCUCUUCGAGCAUCCAACUCUGCCAUCUGACCAGCUCUUAAGAAUACCUUUGUUUUCCCUAUCUGAUAUAAAAGGUCACAAGUGAGGUCAUACAAAAAAUAUAUGCUGUAUAAGAUUGUUUUAUCUCCCGUAUUCACCCAUUGACAUAGGCUACCUGAUAUCCUUUCAAACCCAUUCUAUCACAUAUUGCUGCACAGGCGGCCUUCUCAUCAGAGCUGAAAAAGAAUUGAGCUCAGUUAAACCUUCUUCAGAAAAAAUCAGAGUAUAUUUUAUUGGUAUAUUUCACUUGAGUUUCACCCCUACUAUAUCGUCUACUUAGAUCACAGCUAGAGCAAUCGUACCUGUCCACAAGCUCUGGUGCAAGCAUCCCAAACCGAUCAAUGAACUCAUCAAAUGUCCUCUUUGUUGGAUAGCCAGCACAGCUGAUCCUGAUUGCUUCCAGAACACCCUGUAUCAUGACAAUGUGCAAAUGUCGAACCAAUCAAGACACAACAUGAAAUCAUGGUUGCAGAAUAAACAUAGUAGAGCAAAUUCACAUACAUACCCCACAUCUCAAUUGAUUCAAGACGUUGAAAUUCUCAAAGAUGCCUGGUUUUAGUACAGUAUUAGGCUUCACACAUCUAAUGUAGUGAGGUUCUGUUGUACUCAGUGUUUCCAUGAGGGAUUGAAGUUGUUGCUGCGUAUAUUACAGUUAAAAGGUUACUGGCCAUUCAAAAGACAAGCAUAGAGAUCUGGCUCCAAUAUGACACACCUUAAAGCGAGUACCGAUUGAAGAGAAUUUGGACUGUUUAGAAGUCUCCUCAGGUAAUGGAGGAAAGAGAUUUGCAACAAAAGGGCACCUUGAAGAAUUUAGUAGAGCUUGGUGUUCAGCUACCACAUAGUCUUUGUUCUUAUCAAGGAACUGAUCUGCUUGAUAUGUGACCUGUUAGUUGAACAGCCUGUUAAAACUCAUUGUUGGUAGAUUGUAUAUUUCAUAUCGUAACUGAAUGGUUGCUUACAUCUCCUGCAUAGUGGUUGAUUGUAAAGGCAGUGCGAGCAAGUUUGGGCUUGCUGAAGCGCUUAUGUGCCUUGUAUGUUUGGUACAUCUUUUGGGCAAAUGUUUCAUGAGUGGACUUUGGAAACAUACUGCAUGAAAAACAUAUGUCACAUCCUUA